RNAcentral lists this ribosomal RNA (524 nucleotides) under uncultured bacterium. RNAcentral's name for it is "partial 16S ribosomal RNA". It matches the Rfam family "Bacterial small subunit ribosomal RNA", at positions 28 to 523 of the family's 1533-position model. The record is from RNAcentral.
GACGAACGCUGGCGGCGUGCCUAAUACAUGCAAGUCGAACGAAGCUGUUUUAACUGGUGCUUGCACCGACUUAAACAACUGAGUGGCGAACGGGUGAGUAACACGUGGGUAACCUGCCCCAAAGCGGGGGAUAACAUUUGGAAACAGAUGCUAAUACCGCAUAACCACAGAAACCACAUGGUUUCUGUGUCAAAGAUGGUUUCGGCUAUCACUUUGGGAUGGACCCGCGGCGUAUUAGCUAGUUGGUAAGGUAACGGCUUACCAAGGCAAUGAUACGUAGCCGAACUGAGAGGUUGAUCGGGCAAAUUGGGACUGAGACACGGCCCAAACUCCUACGGGAGGCAGCAGUAGGGAAUCUUCCACAAUGGGCGCAAGCCUGACGGAGCAACACCGCGUGAGUGAAGAAGGGUUUCGGCUCGUAAAACUCUGUUGUUAAAGAAGAACGUAUCUAAGAGUAACUGCUUAGGUAGUGACGGUAUUUAACCAGAAAGCCACGGCUAACUACGUGCCAGCCGCCGCAGUAA